UGGGGAAUAUUGGACAAUGGGCGAAAGCCUGAUCCAGCCAUGCCGCGUGUGUGAAGAAGGUCUUCGGAUUGUAAAGCACUUUAAGUUGGGAGGAAGGGCAUUAACCUAAUACGUUAGUGUUUUGACGUUACCGACAGAAUAAGCACCGGCUAACUCUGUGCCAGCAGCCGCGGUAAUACAGAGGGUGCAAGCGUUACUCGGAAUUACUGGGCGUAAAGCGCGCGUAGGUGGUUUGUUAAGUUGGAUGUGAAAUCCCCGGGCUCAACCUGGGAACUGCAUUCAAAACUGACUGACUAGAGUAUGGUAGAGGGUGGUGGAAUUUCCUGUGUAGCGGUGAAAUGCGUAGAUAUAGGAAGGAACACCAGUGGCGAAGGCGACCACCUGGACUAAUACUGACACUGAGGUGCGAAAGCGUGGGGAGCAAACA
RNAcentral lists this ribosomal RNA (427 nucleotides) under uncultured bacterium. RNAcentral's name for it is "partial 16S ribosomal RNA". It matches the Rfam family "Bacterial small subunit ribosomal RNA", at positions 355 to 774 of the family's 1533-position model. The record is from RNAcentral.